GAUCUGAGUGGCUGGACUCUCAGCCAGCCACUGGGAUGUGUUCGGGCUUUGGACCUUGAGGCCGGAGAUUGCUCCCGAGAGGAGGCGGCGCCCCGUUCAUUCUUCUGAGGGGACGGUAGAUUUGGGGGUUUUCCGCUAGGAUUCUCACGCCGUUUCCUCUGAAGAAACUGAGGACCAGAGAGGGAAAGUGACCUGAAAGUCACAGAAUAAUUUUAGAGCUGGACAAGAAUCCAAGCCUGCAACUGCAGAGACCAGAGAUCUUUCUGCUGUCUAUACUCUUGGGAAGCACAUCCUAAGAUCUUUGCAGAUUAUCCUGUGGAAGGAAAAUGCCUAAAGUCAAAAGAAGCCGGAAAGCACCCCCAGAUGGCUGGGAGUUGAUUGAGCCAACACUGGAUGAAUUAGAUCAAAAGAUGAGAGAAGGUGAGUAGGGGAGUUCCUGUCUGGGUGGGCUGGGUCCAAGGGUCACAGGCUUAGAUGCCA
RNAcentral lists this small RNA (480 nucleotides) under Pongo abelii (Sumatran orangutan). Its description in RNAcentral is "retained intron". Lineage: Eukaryota; Metazoa; Chordata; Mammalia; Primates; Hominidae. The record is from RNAcentral.